Leptidea sinapis is the source of this 1995-nucleotide long non-coding RNA. RefSeq lists it as uncharacterized. The transcript is spliced from 3 exons. The record is from RefSeq and is a predicted model, not a curated record. Lineage: Eukaryota; Metazoa; Arthropoda; Insecta; Lepidoptera; Pieridae.
CAAUUUUUAUUAAACUUUGCGCACUCACACUCACAUUUCACAAUGUAAUUCAUAGAUAAAAUAAAGAUUAACUCAUUAAAUAAAAAUAAUGGUUGGUAAACAUUUCAAGAUUUGGUUGAAGACGAUUUUAAAUGAUGAAAAAGUUAGAUGAUGGCGGAAUCAGCAAUUCAAGACUCAGUGAUCCGACACUAGGCCAGAUGUUGCUGAAGACCCGAGCUGUGAUAUGACAAAGGGGGUGUUUUCAAUGGUCCAAGCACAAACUUGAGUCUUCAGCUGGCUUUUUAAAUUUAAAAGAACCCGUGUUCUUAUCAAAAUCAAAAAGAGAACAGACAAGGUAAAAAUUUGAGAGACAAAAAAAGAAUAGCCAAUGAUGGUCAUGCUAUUAAGAGACUAAAAUGGAAAUGGGCUGGACACCUGAUGAUAGGAAAUUCUGGAGAUGGAAGAGCUAUUUAACUACGCAGAGACCUGAUAAAUGGAGGAAGACUAUCACUACAUGGUACCAAAGAGGUUACAAAAGAAAUAGAGGUAGGCAAAUUAGAAGAUGACAAGAUGAAAUAGUGAAAAUGGCUGGAAGAACCUGGAUUAGACUAUCUGCAAAUAAAGAAGAGUGGAGAAGAAUAGGAGAGGCUUUUGCCCAGAGGCACACAGACAAUAAAGUAUUUAGAUAAGUACUAGAUAAGAUUCAUGAAUAAGGAUUCAUUUUUGUCUGCUAUUAUUAUUAUGUUCUUAUCAUACUCCGUACGACCACACAUUGUUAAAUUAAAUUAUUGCUAAAACUAUGAUGCUCCAUUUUGGUUUAAGAGGAUUCUCAGGCGAAGCAAAUAUGCAAUUUCUCUUCAUUAUAGAUGAACACGCAGCAUUGUUAAAAUGGUUAAUUUUGUAGUUUUUGUUUUAAAAAAAAUUAUUUGAGUUUAUUUUUUCAAAUAUUCUAGCAAAUUAAAUUCCCUCCAAAUCCAUAUACAAAGACGUAAAUUUUAUUUCAAAUUAAUUAUCCAGUAUGGAGCUAGCUCGACGUAAAAAAUUAAAAUAGAGUCACUUUUAGAAUUUAUUUUCACAAUGAAAAAAUACUGUUAAUUGAAAAAUCCUGUUUUAGUGUUUUCUCCAAAUUAUCUAGUUUUAAAAAAAAAAGUUUUUUUCCCAUAUUAUGUAGUACUUCAUAUUACAAUUUUCGUGUAAUGUAGAUACCAGCUUAUCGGUGGGUUGGUUUGGUAUGUCGGAAGUAGCAACAGUUAAUCCGUUAUCCUCAUAGAGCCAGUACGGGCACCUUGGUUCUUGCAUUGAUGUGACGCGCCCGCCUGUGACGUCAGCGGCGUGUGGCUUGCGUCAUCCGGCUACUUACAGGCACCACUUUCCUCACAUAAUUCCCUCUGACAAGAAAACUUAUUAGAUGUUACCUUUGCUAAACUGUUUACCUCGUGCCUUGUUCAAUGAACUUGCGUCAGUAUAAUUACAUCAUAAUAUUAAUGAAAAACGUUCCAAGCCAUAAACAUGACAUUUUAAGGAAUUCAUGUUAUAAGUUUAAUAAAUAUUAGUGUAUUCCAUACAUGUGGGUUAGGCUACAAGUCAUGAUGUCAUUUAAAGAGUGACAGUAGGGCUACCAUUUUUUGUCAGUCCGUUAAUAUCAAUCAUCUGACCAGUUUUGUGUUUUUAAUUCAAUUUCAACAUGAUUGUAGUUUGGAACGUUUUUUGGAACUGGAAUUACGUCCAUUUAUGUUACAGUAAGAAUUUUCAAUUAGUUUUUAUAGUUAUAGUAAUAAUGAAGACUUACACGAUACAACGUGAGUAAUUAAAAAGUAAUAAUAUAGUACAAUUCUUUCCUUAGUACAUUUGUACUAAUUUGUGAUAAUUUUAUCGAGAGUUGUUAAUGUUAAACACUUUUAUAUAAGUAUUAUAAAUAACUCGCAUCUUGUAUUGUAUAAAGUUAUUAGGAUGAUCACAGUUGAUGAUAGUAAGAUGUUAAUAAUUUAUUAUGUAAUUAAAUUUCCUGCUAAUCAA